CCUACGGGUGGCUGCAGUGAGGAAUAUUGGUCAAUGGACGAGAGUCUGAACCAGCCAAGUAGCGUGAAGGAUGACUGCCCUAUGGGUUGUAAACUUCUUUUAUAAAGGAAUAAAACGCGGCACGUGUGCCUUUUUGUAUGUACUUUAUGAAUAAGGAUCGGCUAACUCCGUGCCAGCAGCCGCGGUAAUACGGAGGAUCCGAGCGUUAUCCGGAUUUAUUGGGUUUAAAGGGAGCGUAGAUGGGUUGUUAAGUCAGUUGUGAAAGUUUGCGGCUCAACCGUAAAAUUGCAGUUGAUACUGGGUGUCUUGAGUACAGUAGAGGUAGGCGGAAUUCGUGGUGUAGCGGUGAAAUGCUUAGAUAUCACGAAGAACCCCGAUUGCGAAGGCAGCUUACUAAACUGUAACUGACGUUGAUGCUCGAAAGUGUGGGUAUCAAACAGGAUUAGAUACCCGGGUAGUC
Molecule: ribosomal RNA, 460 nt
Filed under: uncultured bacterium
Lineage: Bacteria
Description: partial 16S ribosomal RNA
Rfam family: Bacterial small subunit ribosomal RNA
Source: RNAcentral